RNAcentral lists this ribosomal RNA (253 nucleotides) under uncultured bacterium. RNAcentral describes it as "partial 16S ribosomal RNA". It matches the Rfam family "Bacterial small subunit ribosomal RNA", at positions 524 to 776 of the family's 1533-position model. The record is from RNAcentral.
UACGGAGGGUGCGAGCGUUGUCCGGAAUCACUGGGCGUAAAGGGCGCGUAGGCGGCUUCUCAAGCGUGUGGUGAAAGUCCGGGGCUCAACCCCGGAUCGGCCGUGCGGACUGGGGAGCUCGAGUUCUGUAGAGGCGGGUGGAAUUCCGGGUGUAGCGGUGGAAUGCGUAGAGAUCCGGAAGAACACCGGUGGCGAAGGCGGCCCGCUGGGCAGAGACUGACGCUGAGGAGCGAAAGCGUGGGGAGCGAACAGG